Non-coding RNA from Arthroderma sp. PD_2, 71 nucleotides. NCBI's taxonomy places the organism in Eukaryota, Fungi, Ascomycota, Eurotiomycetes, Onygenales, Arthrodermataceae. The record is from the annotation of a GenBank genome assembly.
GGGCUGGUAGUUUAAUGGUAAAAUCAGUAUCUUGCACAUACUCUUCCCGGGUUCGAUUCCCGGUCAGUCCA